Molecule: ribosomal RNA, 253 nt
Filed under: uncultured bacterium
Lineage: Bacteria
Description: partial 16S ribosomal RNA
Rfam family: Bacterial small subunit ribosomal RNA
Source: RNAcentral
UACGUAGGGGGCAAGCGUUGUCCGGAUUUAUUGGGCGUAAAGAGCGUGUAGGCGGCCAUGCAGGUCCGUUGUGAAAACUCGAGGCUCAACCUCGAGACGCCGAUGGAAACCAUGUGGCUAGAGUCCGGAAGAGGAGAGUGGAAUUCCUGGUGUAGCGGUGAAAUGCGCAGAUAUCAGGAAGAACACCCGUGGCUAAGGCGGCUCUCUAGUACGGUACUGACGCUGAGACGCGAAAGCGUGGGGAGCGAACAGG